AUACGGGGCCGUUAUAGCCAUGUGUUUAUCAUCCAACAUGGCAUAAAUUCCCCGUACUC
RNAcentral lists this microRNA precursor (59 nucleotides) under Branchiostoma lanceolatum (amphioxus). Its description in RNAcentral is "Bla-Mir-4872-P27_pre stem-loop". The record is from RNAcentral. Lineage: Eukaryota; Metazoa; Chordata; Leptocardii; Amphioxiformes; Branchiostomatidae.